Molecule: non-coding RNA, 30 nt
Filed under: Mus musculus (house mouse)
Lineage: Eukaryota; Metazoa; Chordata; Mammalia; Rodentia; Muridae
Source: RNAcentral
UGAAGCAGCCAGCACCAUCCAAUUAGUCCA